CGCGAGCCCUCAGCGAGGCGGUGAGGGGGUCCUGCCAGCGCCACCGCCUCUUGUUACAGUCCCCGGCCUCUUCUUGCUCCCUGGCCUGUUUACAGAAAGCAGAGACGCUCAGAGUUAAGACUGUAAUUCCAACUUUUCUAGAACUAAACGAGGACCCCCCCCUUCCCCGAAUUUACAUUGCACACGAAGUCUUUUUGCCCUUAGAAGGAUCGAUGUGCCCAAUACUUCUGGGAGCCAGAACCUCGCGAGAAGCCUCAUGCUGUUUUCCAAGUGAUUAAGGCUGUCAAGCACAUAUAUGUUUCAUGUUCUCCAAAGAGGCCUCUCUGCAUAGCCUGAGGAAGGUUUAUCAGCUUAAAGGGAAAAAGAAUGGGUGAAGGAGACCACGAAUGAUCUGCAGAGUCCCUGCAAAAGAGAAGGGCUGAAGAACUGCGGCAGAGAGGUGAGCUGUGCAGAGCUCUGCCAGCGUGUUGCUGAGGGCCCCAUGCUGUAAAUCUCAAAGACAUCUUCGACAGGAAUGCUGUUCUGCGAAAACA
This is a long non-coding RNA of Dromaius novaehollandiae (emu), 533 nucleotides long. RefSeq lists it as uncharacterized. NCBI's taxonomy places the organism in Eukaryota, Metazoa, Chordata, Aves, Casuariiformes, Dromaiidae. The record is from RefSeq and is a predicted model, not a curated record. The transcript has 3 exons.